Molecule: ribosomal RNA, 465 nt
Filed under: uncultured bacterium
Lineage: Bacteria
Description: partial 16S ribosomal RNA
Rfam family: Bacterial small subunit ribosomal RNA
Source: RNAcentral
GACGAACGCUGGCGGCGUGCUUAUCACAUGCAAGUCGAACGGAAAGGCCCUGCUUGCAGGGUACUCGAGUGGCGAACGGGUGAGUAACACGUGGGUGAUCUGCCCUGCACUUCGGGAUAAGCCUGGGAAACUGGGUCUAAUACCGGAUAGGAGCCAUUUUUAGUGUGAUGGUUGGAAAGUUUUUUCGGUGUAGGAUGAGCUCGCGGCCUAUCAGCUUGUUGGUGGGGUAAUGGCCUACCAAGGCGGCGACGGGUAGCCGGCCUGAGAGGGUGGACGGCCACAUUGGGACUGAGAUACGGCCCAGACUCCUACGGGAGGCAGCAGUGGGGAAUAUUGCACAAUGGGCGCAAGCCUGAUGCAGCGACGCCGCGUGGGGGAUGACGGCCUUCGGGUUGUAAACUCCUUUCGCUAGGGACGAAGCUUUUUGUGACGGUACCUAGAUAAGAAGCACCGGCUAACUACGUG